Small nucleolar RNA from Amblyraja radiata (thorny skate), 112 nucleotides. Lineage: Eukaryota; Metazoa; Chordata; Chondrichthyes; Rajiformes; Rajidae. The record is from RefSeq and is a predicted model, not a curated record.
UAGCAAACUAGAUCACAUGCCCAGCAUAAUGUUGCUGGAGUGAGGGGAACAUGUUUGCAACAGUAAAUUGUAUCUGUGGUUACAGGCAGAAUUCCAACUAGCCAAUUCAAUU